Oncorhynchus kisutch (coho salmon) is the source of this 373-nucleotide long non-coding RNA. RefSeq lists it as uncharacterized. The transcript has 3 exons. Lineage: Eukaryota; Metazoa; Chordata; Actinopteri; Salmoniformes; Salmonidae. The record is from RefSeq and is a predicted model, not a curated record.
CCCUUACCCAAUCACAUCCCCUUUACCUUGGUUUAAAAGAAACCCAAUCCGUUGUCUCUGGAGUUAUCUCUUUUGUUUUUGCGUCUAAAUCUCACAUUGUCCGUUAUCAUGUGACCCUGUACCUCAAAUCCAGAAGAGGCAACAUAUCCCAACGAUUCCAGCUUCUGCAGCCUUCAUGAGAAUGAUUCAGGAGGAGCAUGCUGGUGUCCCUGCCGCCCGACACACAAAACCAACAACUUCAAAACAAUUGCAGCCGGUAGCAACAAGAAGCGCUGCUUUUUGUGUGGACCCAAGAAGGACAGGAAGACACCGUACACAUGCAUCAAGUGGAAUAAAUACUUUUGCAACACACACAGUAAAACUCUGUCCCUCA